CCUACGGGAGGCAGCAGUGAGGAAUAUUGGUCAAUGGACGCAAGUCUGAACCAGCCAUGCCGCGUGCAGGAAGACGGCUCUAUGAGUUGUAAACUGCUUUUGUACGAGGGUAAACGCAGAUACGCGUAUCUGUCUGAAAGUAUCGUACGAAUAAGGAUCGGCUAACUCCGUGCCAGCAGCCGCGGUAAUACGGAGGAUUCAAGCGUUAUCCGGAUUUAUUGGGUUUAAAGGGUGCGUAGGCGGUCGGAUAAGUUAGAGGUGAAAUCCCGAGGCUCAACUUCGGAAUUGCUUCUGAUACUGUACGGCUAGAGAGUAGUUGCGGUAGGCGGAAUGUAUGGUGUAGCGGUGAAAUGCUUAGAGAUCAGAAAGAACACUGAUGGCGAAGGCAGCUUACCAAGCUACUUCUGACGUUGAGGCACGAAAGCGUGGGGAGCAAACAGGAUUAGAUACCCUAGUAGUC
Molecule: ribosomal RNA, 460 nt
Filed under: uncultured bacterium
Lineage: Bacteria
Description: partial 16S ribosomal RNA
Rfam family: Bacterial small subunit ribosomal RNA
Source: RNAcentral